UACGGGGGGGGCAAGCGUUGUUCGGAAUUACUGGGCGUAAAGGGUUCGUAGGUGGCCAACUAAGUCAGACGUGAAAUCCCUCGGCUCAACCGGGGAACUGCGUCUGAUACUGGUUGGCUUGAGUGCAGGAGAGGAACGCGGAAUUCCAGGUGUAGCGGUGAAAUGCGUAGAUAUCUGGAGGAACACCGGUGGCGAAGGCGGCAUCCUGGACCGGUAUUGACGCUGAUGCGCGAAAGCCAGGGGAGCAAACGGG
This 253-nucleotide ribosomal RNA is filed under the name uncultured bacterium. Its description in RNAcentral is "partial 16S ribosomal RNA". It matches the Rfam family "Bacterial small subunit ribosomal RNA", at positions 524 to 776 of the family's 1533-position model. The record is from RNAcentral.